This is a long non-coding RNA of Daphnia pulicaria, 231 nucleotides long. RefSeq lists it as uncharacterized. The transcript is spliced from 2 exons. Lineage: Eukaryota; Metazoa; Arthropoda; Branchiopoda; Diplostraca; Daphniidae. The record is from RefSeq and is a predicted model, not a curated record.
UUCGUCCUUGUCUUGCGAGUCAGACGAUCCGUCAAAUGGCCAUCCGUUCCCCGGGACAGUUUCCCUACGCAGAAAAUGGAGUCAGUCAUGCAAUAGGUGAGUUUAAAUGAAAAACGAGUCGAAGAAGAAUUACCCCCAGCAACAACAAAAAAACGGAAAGAAGAGUCAACAAAAGAGAUACUUGUCCGGACGUGAGCAAAACAUUAAGAGGGGAAAAUGUAAGAGCUAAAA